This 30-nucleotide non-coding RNA is filed under the name Homo sapiens (human). Lineage: Eukaryota; Metazoa; Chordata; Mammalia; Primates; Hominidae. The record is from RNAcentral.
UGAUAAGCAGAGUCAGCAUAGAUUCAUUCC